RNAcentral lists this ribosomal RNA (714 nucleotides) under Orcula gularis. RNAcentral's name for it is "partial 12S ribosomal RNA". The record is from RNAcentral. Lineage: Eukaryota; Metazoa; Mollusca; Gastropoda; Stylommatophora; Orculidae.
CCGAAAACGGAACGUAAUGUUUUCCUUUUUAGAACCCCAUUUCUACUAAACUUGAUAGCCAAAUUAUUAUUAUGGUUUUCUAAGGAUUUAUGGAAAUUUAAGUACCCACCAGUCCAAAAUAUUAAAAAUUAUAUAACUAUAAAUUUAGUAAAAACUAAAAUGUUAGGGUUAACAUGGUGCCAGCAACCGCGGUCAAACCAUUGCUAACAAAAUAAUUUUUUAAAAUCUACUCAAAAACCAUUAAAAUUUUAUGCAGGUUGUUUGCAGUAAAAUGCAGCUACUCUAUACACCUAAACAAAUUUUUGAAUUUCCGGAUAGAAAAAUAGGAAUAAAAACUAGGAUUAGAGACCCUACUAUUCUUAUAUUAAAUAAUGUAGAUUGAGAAGUAAAACACUCCUGAGAAACUCAAAAGUCAUGGCGGCUAUUAAAACUAAUCAGGGGAGCUUACCAAGUAAUUGACAACCACCAAGAAUUCUUCACUUUUAUUUAAAGUUUGUAUGCCGUCGUUUAAAAUUUUUCUAAGAAAAGUUUCAAUCCUUUUUAGUUUUAAAGAAACUAUUAAAACAGAUCAAGGUGCAACUAAUAUAAAAGAUUGGGCGAGCUACAAUGUCAACAUGAAUCUCGGAAGCAGAUCUAAAAGGCUAGCGGAAGUUGGACUUGAAAGUAACAAAGUUAAAUUAAUAAAUAAGGUUUGAAUUCUAUUUUUAAUAGUGC